This 468-nucleotide ribosomal RNA is filed under the name uncultured bacterium. RNAcentral describes it as "partial 16S ribosomal RNA". It matches the Rfam family "Bacterial small subunit ribosomal RNA", at positions 28 to 507 of the family's 1533-position model. The record is from RNAcentral.
GACGAACGCUGGCGGCGUGCUUAACACAUGCAAGUCGAACGGAAAGGCCCUGCUUUUGUGGGGUGCUCGAGUGGCGAAAGGGUGAGUAACACGUGAGUAACCUGCCCUUUAGUUUGGGAUAACUUCAGGAAACUGGGGCUAAUACCGGAUAGGAGCUCCUGCUGCAUGGUGGGGGUUGGAAAGUUGCGGUGGUUGGGCAUGGACAGGUGGCUUAUCGGCGUGUUGGUGGGGUAGUGGAUUACAAAGGCAUUGACGGGAAGCCGGCCUGAGAGGGUGACCGGCCACAUUGGGACUGAGAUACGGCCCAGACUCAUACGGGAGGAAGCAGUGGGGAAUAUUGCACAAUGGGCGGAAGCCUGAUGCAGCAACGCCGCGUGCGGGAUGACGGCCUUCGGGUUGUAAACCGCUUUCGCCUGUGACGAAGCGUGAGUGACGGUAAUGGGUAAAGAAGCACUGGCUAACUACGUG